UUCGCAAUGCCCGAAAGGGUGACGAAGCGACGCCGCGUGCGGGAAGAAGGCCUUCGGGUUGUAAACCGCUGUCGGGAGUUAGGAAGUGCAAGGAUGUUAAUAGCGUUCUUGCUUGACUAAGGCUCCGGAGGAAGCCACGGCUAACUCUGUGCCAGCAGCCGCGGUAAUACAGAGGCGGCAAGCGUUGUUCGGAAUUAUUGGGCGUAAAGAGCACGUAGGCGGCUGUGUAAGUCGGUUGUGAAAGCCUUCCGCUUAGCGGAAGAGCAGCAGUUGAAACUACAGGGCUUGAGUGCGGGAGGGGAGAGUGGAACUUCUGGUGGAGCGGUGAAAUGCGUAGAUAUCAGAAGGAACGCCGGCGGCGAAAGCGGCUCUCUGGUCCGUAACUGACGCUGAGUGUGCGAAAGCUAGGGGAGCAAACGGGAUUAGAUACCCCGGUAGUCCUAGCCGUAAACGAUGGGCACUAAGUAGAGGGGUUUU
This 477-nucleotide ribosomal RNA is filed under the name uncultured anaerobic ammonium-oxidizing bacterium. RNAcentral's name for it is "bacterial SSU rRNA". It matches the Rfam family "Bacterial small subunit ribosomal RNA", at positions 365 to 832 of the family's 1533-position model. The record is from RNAcentral.